AUGAAUAUACUUAAGCUAUCAAUAGUACUUUUCCCACGUCUGAAACCGAAUUGGGAUUCACAUAAUAGACCGUUAUGCUCAACAAACCAUUCUAAAUGAUUUUUUAUAAGAUGUUCUGUAAUUUUCAUCAAAACAGAAGAAAGUGCGAUUGGGCGAUAGACAGAAUGGUCUGAAGAACACCUAUUAGGUUUCAGUACAGGAAUUAUUUCUUGACGUUUCCACGUGGAGGGGAUGUUACCAGAUGUCACUAUGGAAUUUAUAAGAGAUAAAUAAUAAAAUAAAGCAUCAUCAUCUAAAUGAGAGAUAAAGGAAUACGGAAUACCGUCCAGUCCAGGAGCAGAAUCCUUAACAUGAGACAAUACACCAUUUAGUUCAGUGAGAGAAAAUAUACUGUUUAAACCAAAACAGUUAUCAUUAUUUAUAUUUAUUACAGGGUAACCAAUUAUUAAGUCUUCAGGAACGAAAGGUGGAGCCAAUUUAUCUAAAAAGCUAUUAACUAAAUGAAAAGGGAUUGAUUUUGGGGAUGAAUCUUUGUAUGCAGAUCUAAACCUUCUUAUAUUUUGCCAUACAAGAGAUGGUUUGACAUCAGCAUAUUUUCUUCUCUUUACUGCCACAGUACAUUCGUUAUCCCACCAAGGAGGAGAAGGAAUAAAACCCAAAGAGCUAUUUUUACUUGGAAAUAUCUCAUUGGCAACCUCAAUAAAGAUUCUUGCUAAAGAAUCUGCACACUGAGAUUCUGUACCUGGAUUAAUUUUUGGAAGUGUAACAAUUUUGUUUUUUAUUAGAUCUUUAUAUAAAUCCCAAUCAACAUCAUUAAGCUUAUAUUUUAAACGAGGAGAAUAAGUUUUAUGUAAUACUUUAUUGUUAUUAUUGCAGGUUGGAAAUGAUAAUAAUAGUGGGAAGUGAUCACUACCAAAAGUAGAUCGUAAUGGAUCCCAGGACAAAGAAGAAGCAAGAUUAGGUGUAGUGACUGUUAAAUCUGGAGCACUUGGGCCCUCGUCAGGAUGAGAACGUCGUGUAGGACGACCAUCAUUUAAUAUACACAAAUUCACUGAAUCAAAUAUAUCUAUUAAUGUGUUACCAUAACUAUUAGAAGAUAAGUAACCCCAGGAUUCAUGGCGACAGUUAAAAUCACCAAGGAUCAUAAAAGGCUUCGGAAGAAUGGAAAUAAUAUCUUUAAUUUCAUUUAAGAUUGCAGAAGAAGGAUGAGGUAUAUAAAUAGAUACAUAACAGAUAUUUUCAACUAUAGCAGCAAUAAUAGAAAAAUCAUUACUGUGAGAAGGAAUAGAGAAGAGAGAAAAGGAAAGAGGGUGUUUCACAAGCAUGGCUACUCCGCCAUGCCCAUCCACACGAUCUUCUCUGAGGCAUGAAUAACCUCGAAUCUUAAAUAAAGAUCCUGGUUUCAACCAUGUCUCUUGAAGAGCACAGAUAUAAGGUUUAUAUUUAUUUAAUAAAUAAAUAAGAUCACUUUUUUUAGGAGUGAUGCUUUGACAAUUCCAUUGAAGAACUUUGUCCAUUAUUUGGUUUAUAAAUUUGAGUAAUUGCAGAAACUAAUAAGGCAGCGUUGGACGGUGAAAAUUCAUUCGAUUGACUAAGAGAUUUUAUAAGAGAAAUAAUUAAAUCAAUUACUGAGGAUUCCAAA
This is a long non-coding RNA of Leptidea sinapis, 1642 nucleotides long. RefSeq lists it as uncharacterized. The record is from RefSeq and is a predicted model, not a curated record. The transcript is spliced from 2 exons. Lineage: Eukaryota; Metazoa; Arthropoda; Insecta; Lepidoptera; Pieridae.